This is a long non-coding RNA of Ctenopharyngodon idella (grass carp), 4467 nucleotides long. RefSeq lists it as uncharacterized. The transcript has 2 exons. Lineage: Eukaryota; Metazoa; Chordata; Actinopteri; Cypriniformes; Xenocyprididae. The record is from RefSeq and is a predicted model, not a curated record.
GGUUUUGGCGGAGGCACUUAGAAGGCGAACGUUUGUUUAUGUAAAACAUAUACAGUUGUAUUUUUAUUUUUUUUUCCGAAAAUGACCGAUCGUUUCGCUAGAUAAGACCCUUAUUCAUCGUCUGGUAUCGUUUAAAGCCCUUUGAAGCUUCACUUAACUGUCAUUUGGACCUUGAACCAUUUGGUGUCCAUUGAAGUCCAUUAUAUGGAGAAAAAUCCUGGAAUGUUUUCAUCAAAAACCUUAAUUUUUUUUCGACUGAAGAAAGACAGACAUGGACAUCUUGGAUGACAUGGGGGUUUACCAUAGUCAGUCGGAUCUGGGCUGUAUCCAGGUGAGAUUGAGGACCUGCACCUAGACACGAGAACAACGCAGCCCUGAAGUGUCAGCAGAGAUUGUGUCAACUAGAUCAUCCCCUGUGAAGGCCUCACCGACACGACAGCCAGUGGCACAGAUUCCCAACAAACCAUCCCAUUCCAGCCUGAUGAAUACGAUCUUUAACUAGAUGGAACUGGAUUAAAUAUUUUGACUGUUGCAAUCCCAGUCGGGCUUAUGACCUGUAAAGCUGCCUGAAUCAUUAUCACGCACUGUUUGCUGUUGGCCAGAGGAGAACUGCCCCUCUGGCCAAAAGGAUGACAAAGGGAUGCCGGCACACAACAGAGUUAGCUUUUGCGAAGAAUCAAGUUGCUCCCAGACAUGAGGAGGUGUGGCAAAGAGACACAGUGUCUCAUUUCCUUCUCAGGGAACAAGGGUUACAUACGUAACCUGAGAGGUCCCUUUCGAGGGAACUCACACUGUGUCGGUAACGACACUUUGGGGAAUGAAUACCCACUAUACCAUACCCAAACAUGUCUGUCCUAGUGUCAAGCUGAAACAGGCACAACUUAGGAUGAGAGCACCUGUGCGCCUGGUGUGGAAGGGAGGUGUAGACUAUAAAAUGUGAUGAAGGUGUGUGGAGUGGCCCAGCCAGCUGUAUCACAGAUCUCCUGAAGGGGAACCCCUGAAAGGAGAGCUCUAGAGGACGCCAUGCCCCUAGUAGAAUGAGCCCUCAAGGCCAAAGAUGAAGGUAGGUUACGCACCUGAUAGUCCGAGGCAAUAGCCUGAACGAUCCAAUUACUAAUUGUUUGCUUAUAAGCAUGGAGCCCCUUCUUAGGUGACCCAAUGCACACCAACAACUGAUCUGACUUCCUCCAUUGAGCAGACUUCUGAAUAUAAACAUUCAAUACUCUGACAGGGCAGAGCAGAUGAAGCCUUUGCUUCCACCGACACAUGUGGUGGAGGAUGGAAGGCUUGUAGAACCAUAGACUGUGCCAUGUUAGAAGGCACCUUAGGCACGUAGCCCGGUCUAGGAUUUAGCUGCUGCUGGCUCAAGGUUUGAAGGGGGCAGUGACAACCCUUUGAGGACUGCCGCCAGAUCCAAGGUUGGGACUCUGGUCCAAGUCGCAGGUCUCAUCUUCCAUGCACCAUGGAGGAAACGUAUGACCAACUGGUGCCUCCCCAAAGGCACAUCACUUAUAUGAGCAUGGAAAGCCGCAAUGGCAGCCACUUACACCUUAAGUGUGGACGGGGUAAGACCAGCAGAGAAGCGAUCUUGGAGGAACUCCAGUACUGAAGCCACCAGGCAGUUAACUGGGUCCAAACCACGCUCUCUACACCAAGUAGAAAACAUUCCACUUUAGGCCAUACAAUCUCCUCGUGGAUGGAGCUCUGUAACCAAGUAUGGUUUCAACUAUUUCAACCGACAGGGCCAGACCCACAGUUUCCACAGCUUUGGCCGAGGAUGAAAUAUUGUGCCUCCCGCCUGAGACAAGGAGGACCUGCCAGGAAUGUUAUGAUGUCCGCAAACCAUACUCAGGCUGGCCAGAAUGGGGCUAUCAGUACCAAAGUGACCCUUUCUCGUCGGACUCUCUCCAGAACUCCCAGGGACAGAGCGAUCGUGGGAAAUGCUUACACACCUGCACCAUGGCAUCCAACCCCAGCAGGGCUGGUUGGAUGAGGGAAAACCACAAUGGACAGUGGGUCAACUCUCGAGAUGCGAAAAAGUCCACUUCAACUGGACCAAACCUCUCGCAUAUCGACUUCACCACCUCGGGUUGCCCCUGCCUCAGCCCCUGCCUCAGCCCCUGCCUCGACAGGAGGUCCGCUCCCUGAUUCUUGUCCCCGGGGACAUCCCUGGGACCACAAGAGGAUCUGGUGUGCCAGUCUGGAUAGAGGGCGCACCCUCAGACCCCCCUUGAUGAUUCAAAUAGAAGACCACCGAUAUGUUGUCUGUUUGGACCAGAAUGUGGUGACCCCUGAGGUCUGGGAGGAAGCUCCUCAGAGCAUUGAAGACCGCAAACAACUCUAGGCAAUUAUUGUGCCAAGAAGAUCGGUGGUCCUGCCACAGACCUCUUUCAAAUCGGCCGUACGUGACCGCACCACAGCCCAUGAGGGAUGCAUCUGUUGAGAUGAUUUUUUUGGUGAUAUGGUGCUCCCAAAACUGGGCCUUGGGACAGAAACCAAGGUUUUCUCCAUAUGGACAAGGAAUGAAGGCAUUUGCACAUAACCCUGAUCAUACGGAACGGGUUUCCCCUCAGGGAAAACCCCUUGGCAUUUAGCCACCACUGUAGGGGCCUCAUGUGCAGAAAACCAAAAGGUAGGACGUUGGAUGCAGCUGCCAUGAGCCCUAGCAAUGUUUGAAACUGCUUUAUAGUGAUGCCGCGGUCUAGCUUUAUCCUGGAAACCAUCGCACAGGAUGGAGUUGAUACGUGCAGAAGACAUUGUGCCCGCAUCGUAGUCAAAUCCCAUACCAACCCCAAUAAUGUAGUUCUCUGGGCGGGUGUCAGCACACUCUUUUUUUGUGUUAAGUCUCAACCCCAAGCUUGACAUCUCGAUGCCGAACUGACAGUUCUCGAAAUUGAGCCAAUAUAGUUCAACACACAGAUGCUCUGAAGCCUCAGCGGGGCCAGGGCUGCAUCCAUUCAUUUGGUGAACGUGCGAGGGGAGAGAGCUAGGCUGAAUGGAAGAACCCGAUACUGGAACGCAUCGCCCCCGAAAGCAAACCUCAGGAACUUCGUAUGAGAAGGAAGGAUGGAAAUGUGAAAGUAUGCGUCCUUGAGAUCUAUCGUGACAAACCAGUCCUCAGACCUGAUUUGACUCACGAUGAUGGGAACAGUGAGCAUCUUGAAACUGAAUUUACUCAGAGAAGGGUUUAAGCGCCUCAGAUCUAAAAUCAAAUGCAACCCCCAUCCUUCUUUGGAACAAUAAAGUACCGGCUGUAGAACCCGGGCUCCCAGUCUGGAGGAGGAACAGGUUCUAUGGCCUCAUUUACUAGCAGGUAGUGAACUUCUGAACUGAACUCUCGAGGCUGAUCUUGGGUGUUCUUGGGUGUUCUUGGAGUGACGUUCUCGAAGCGGAUGACUGGCAGGGAUUAAUUGACUUUCGGUGUGCGGACACGAGCAUUGCUUGGCCGCAAGCCUUUGGAGCAGACACAGAAACCGCUGGCUCCUGAAGCGCACUUGACGGCGGGAUACAAACAUCAAUUUCCUGAGGGCUCCGCAGAGGAACGAUCAUUCCUCAUCCCUCCCCAGAGGGGACUGCCCUCUGGCUUCUUUCCCACAGCCUCCUUUGUAAGAAGAACGGUCCUCAGAUCUGUUUCCCUACUCUAAGGCUUUGGGUGAGAGUGCUGCUUAGACCCCCAAGCUCUCUGGGGGUGGGGGGUUUUGGGGUUCUCUAGAGGCAACACUCUCUUCUGCUACUUUGGACUUUCAGAAAUUAUAGAUCCUUUCUUAAUAUUAUUAAUCCAUCAUUGUCAUUAGGAUAUGUACCAAAACCUUUUAAUCUGGCUGUUUUAAACCUCUUAUUUAAAAAAAUGGAACUUGAUACCAAAGAAUUAGUUAAUUACAGACUGAUCUCAAAUCUACUUUCUUCUGUCAAAAAUACAAGAAAUUGCAGUAUCCUCACAACUGUGUUCCUUUUUAAAAAGAAAUGGUAUCAGCGAUGAUUUCCAGUCUGGAUUUAGACCCUACCAUUGUACUGAGACUGCUCUCAUUAGAGUUACAAAUGAUUUGCUCUUCUCAUCGGAUCGUGGUAUCUCUCUAUUUGUGUUACUGGAUCUUAGUGCUGCAUUUGAUAUUAUUGACCACAACAUUUUGAAUAGACUCGAAAAUUACAUUGGAAUUAGUGGAAUUGCAUUGCUAUGGUUCAAAUCAUAAUUUUUUGAUGAUUACCAAUUUGUAGCAGUGAAUGAAGAGGUUUCAUAUUAAUUACAAGUUCACUAUGUACCGCAAGGCUCAGUACAAGGACUGUUGCUUUUUAUCCUGUACAUGCUACCCUUGAGAGAUAUCAUUAGGUAUUAAAUUUGGAUGUUUGUAUUUAGACAUUAUCAAAGACUUAUUUCUAUCACAGUAUAGAUUUUUGUUGUUGUUGUUGUUGUUUGAAAUUUUGUUGAAUCUUCUGGCACAACUAACUGGUAAAACAGUCUCCAACUGA